This is a long non-coding RNA of Cygnus olor (mute swan), 1687 nucleotides long. RefSeq lists it as uncharacterized. The transcript is spliced from 3 exons. Lineage: Eukaryota; Metazoa; Chordata; Aves; Anseriformes; Anatidae. The record is from RefSeq and is a predicted model, not a curated record.
UGCGACUGUGGAAAAGGUUUGGAAGAUUUUUCAUUGUAAAUGGAUUGUAGUGAAUAAACUCCUUUUUGAAUGUACUUGGACAUUAAAUUGCCGAGAGACUGUGCCAAAGAGCCCAACAAUAGUGGGAAUAUCUCUCUGUUUGCUUAAUGAGCAAUGAAUGGAAGUGUGAAGGUGAAAAGACAGAUUCUGGGUGAGGGAGUGACAAGGCAGUGAAGUCUAAAUGGUAAAUUAGUGACAUCUUCAUUAUUAUGGCAGCAGAGUGCAGUGCCGUCUGAAUGCUAUUCCCUGUAGGAGCGAGCAGAAGGAGAAGCUACGAUGGAAGCGAAAAUGAUCGUAUUCUAGUAUAAAUAUCUGAAAACAUAGCCAAAAACUGCUGUGCAGCUCUCCUGCUUUUCCUGUCGCUUCGUUUUACCAGCUACGUGUGAGCAGGAAGGAAAACAUCUUGAAGAGCAUUCACUGGCUUCAACAGCAUCCUCCUUUCUUGAGACGCAGCUGAUUUUAUCAAUAGCAGCCGAGCCACGCGGCUGGAAAUAGGCACUGGUAUUUCAGAGAGCUCAGCUCACUGAGGGGGUGGACUCUCCGUAUUUAUAAGGAACUCUUCCAUCGCUGUUCGCACCUUCCUUGGGAAAAAAGGCUGCCAGUAAAAACGCCCCAGAGCUUACCAGACAGUGCGAGCCAGACACUGCAGUGAUUUGCUGCUCUUCCUUUCUUGUGUGAAGUGGGGGAAGCCUUUCAGUGUUGGAUUGUUUAUUUUGUUUGGUGGCAGUUGCCCCCCCAAAAAAGGGGGAGGGGGUAUCUUAAAUAAUAUAGUGGUUCAGGCAGCUUGAAGGUGUUGAAGAGAGCUGCUUGAAAUCAGUUUAUAGCAAGGUUUUAAAUUGUGGUUUUGGCAAAUCCAGAGCGGCAGGUUCAUUUCCCAUCCCACAGAGGUUGCCUCUGUGCUCCAAGUUCGCCCCCAAACUGAACGUGUCUGUGAGUGUCAGACCAACCUGGGGACACUUGCCAUUUGUGGAGCAAAACUGAGGGACUCUACCGUUCUCCCCUCUCUUUGCCCCCUUCCUUGAUCCCCAUGGGCACACUGCUGUAGCUUCUGAAGCCUGUGCUGGAGCACACCUCUGCACUUGUGCUGGAAAGGGAUGUUCACAUCGGGACUAUUUCUAAUGGGAACCUGGCCCUUCCAGGCAGGAAUUGGAGGUUUUAUCUCUGUCACUGCUUGAUGUCCACAAAAAAAUUUGUGCAUGCAUUCAGGGGAGCUCAUUUGCAAAAUUUGGGUUCUAGUUUGCUCUGGGACAGGUAACAUGUCCUAUAAAUUUUCUACCUGAAGGAUUUAUUUGAUUUUUUUCUUUUUUUUUUUUGUUAGAGAUUUUAUUUUAAUCAGACUUUAAUAUUGGGCAGCUUGAACAAAGCUCUAGUUUGUACCCAGAAGAACAACAAACCAACAAAUAAGGUAGAAAGAAAACAACUGUUCUUUAUAAGGGGGAAGAUCCUCGUGCCUGAAGUGUGACACAGCAUUGUAAUUUGCGUGGCUCUGUCUGAGCGCAGUGCUGGUGUGCCAGUCUCCCAGGGAGCAAAACCACCUAUUCUUAAGCAAACAAACAAAGGCCUCCUCAGGAGUGAUAUCAGCUACCAUUUUGCUUUCCUGCCCCAGGAUCUCAUUUUUAAGGGGCGUGUUUUUCAUUUUUUCAUUUUC